UGCGGAUAUACUUUGUUGUAGUCUUUCCCGGCAAUGGUGCUGGAGAGCAGAAUGGCCCCAGAAGCUCAUUACCCCCAUACCUCAUGUGGCUGGAGGAUGUCGUUCCCGUCAGAAGGCCUUCCUCUGACUCUCGCACGUGAUGACAGUUUCACUGGAGUCAGGUGGACGUGGACUAAUCAGCGGCUGAUACCGAGAAGCCGUUGGAUCGAGGCAACCAAAGUGGUUUUGAGCAACACCAGAUUCAACAGCAAGCUAAGAGGCAGAUUAGUUACGAAAGUUCAAAAUGAGUUUACCAAAAAGUGUCAGUGUGGGCUGAGUAUGAGACAUAUAACUAAGAGGAUUGAAGCAUACACUUUGAAACCAAAAUGCCUGAGUGUGAAUCUGACUCCACCAGAUUGGGACACGGGUUCGAUCCCUGGUCUGGGAAGAUCCCACAUGCCAUGGACCAGCUAAGCCCAUGAGCCACAACUACUGAAGCCUGUGUGCCUAGAGCCUGCGAGCCUCAACUACUGAGCCCACGUGCCACAACUACUGAAGUCUGCGUGCCUAGAGCCCAUGGUCUGCAACAAGCCACCGCAAUGAGAAGCCCACGCACCGAAACACAGAGUAGCCCCCACUCACCGCAACUAGAGAAAGCCCGCGCACAGCAACGAAGACCCAAC
Long non-coding RNA from Balaenoptera ricei (Rice's whale), 662 nucleotides. RefSeq lists it as uncharacterized. The transcript has 3 exons. NCBI's taxonomy places the organism in Eukaryota, Metazoa, Chordata, Mammalia, Artiodactyla, Balaenopteridae. The record is from RefSeq and is a predicted model, not a curated record.